This 445-nucleotide ribosomal RNA is filed under the name uncultured bacterium. RNAcentral's name for it is "partial 16S ribosomal RNA". It matches the Rfam family "Bacterial small subunit ribosomal RNA", at positions 331 to 793 of the family's 1533-position model. The record is from RNAcentral.
CCAGACUCCUACGGGAGGCAGCAGUGGGGGAUAUUGCACAAUGGGGGGAACCCUGAUGCAGCGACGCCGCGUGGGUGAAGAAGUCAUUCGUGACGUAAAGCCCUAUCGGCAGGGAAGAAACAGACGGUACCUGACUAAGAAGCCCCGGCUAACUACGUGCCAGCAGCCGCGGUAAUACGUAGGGGGCAAGCGUUAUCCGGAUUUACUGGGUGUAAAGGGAGCGUAGACGGCAGUGCAAGUCCGGAGUGAAAGCCCGGGGCUCAACCCUGGGACUGCUCUGGAAACUGUAAAGCUGGAGUGCGGGAGGGGCAGGCGGAAUUCCUGGUGUAGCGGUGAAAUGCGUAGAUAUUAGGAGGAACACCGGUGGCGAAGGCGGCCUGCUGGACUGUGACUGACGUUGAGGCCCGAAGGCGUGGGGAGCAAACAGGAUUAGAUACCCCCGUAU